UGGGGAAUAUUGCACAAUGGGCGGAAGCCUGAUGCAGCAACGCCGCGUGAGGGAUGACGGCCUUCGGGUUGUAAACCUCUUUUAGCAGGGAAGAAGCGAAAGUGACGGUACCUGCAGAAAAAGCGCCGGCUAACUACGUG
RNAcentral lists this ribosomal RNA (140 nucleotides) under Actinomycetales bacterium T2S067. RNAcentral's name for it is "partial 16S rRNA". It matches the Rfam family "Bacterial small subunit ribosomal RNA", at positions 355 to 507 of the family's 1533-position model. The record is from RNAcentral. RNAcentral also lists the same sequence under 2 other names. Lineage: Bacteria; Bacillati; Actinomycetota; Actinomycetes; Actinomycetales.